Molecule: unclassified non-coding RNA, 337 nt
Filed under: Hevea brasiliensis (rubber tree)
Lineage: Eukaryota; Viridiplantae; Streptophyta; Magnoliopsida; Malpighiales; Euphorbiaceae
Source: RNAcentral
UGAGGUAGAAAAGAUAUGGUUGCAGAAGGAAAGAAAUAUGUGAGAGAGAAAUAAGGGAGGAUUGGAGAAAAAUAAAGGUAAGGGUGUUAGAAUAGUUUGAGAAUAAAAAAAAAGAGGGACUAAAGAGCUAAUAAAAUUAAAUUAUAGAUGCUAAUUAAUAUGCUUUUCAAAUUGUAAGGGGUUAACUAAUUAGUUUUUACUAAAAUAGAGGAACUAAAUACUAGUUUGACUAGCAUUAAAAUCAUUUCACUAGCGAAAAGUUUAUUAAAUGGACUAAAUAGUUUAACGGAAGUAAAAUAGAAGUAAAAUACGGAGACUAAAUAGUGUAUUUUUCAAA